ACGAACGCUGGCGGCGUGCUUAACACAUGCAAGUCGAACGAGAAUCACUGGAAGGAGUUUUCGGACAACGGAAGGUGAGGACAGUGGCGGACGGGUGAGUAACGCGUGAGGAACCUGCCUUUCAGAGGGGGACAACAGUUGGAAACGACUGCUAAUACCGCAUGACACAUAGAGAUCGCAUGGUUUUUAUGUCAAAGAUUUAUCGCUGAAAGAUGGCCUCGCGUCUGAUUAGCUAGUUGGUGAGGUAACGGCCCACCAAGGCGACGAUCAGUAGCCGGACUGAGAGGUUGACCGGCCACAUUGGGACUGAGAUACGGCCCAGACUCCUACGGGAGGCAGCAGUGGGGAAUAUUGGGCAAUGGGCGCAAGCCUGACCCAGCAACGCCGCGUGAAGGAAGAAGGCUUUCGGGUUGUAAACUUCUUUUGUCGGGGACGAGUAGAAGACGGUACCUGGCGAAUAAGCCACGGCUAACUACGUGCCAGCAGCCGCGGUAAUACGUAGGUGGCAAGCGUUGUCCGGAUUUACUGGGUGUAAAGGGCGUGUAGCCGGGAAGGCAAGUCAGAUGUGAAAUCCACGGGCUUAACUCGUGAACUGCAUUUGAAACUACUUUUCUUGAGUAUCGGAGAGGCAAUCGGAAUUCCUAGUGUAGCGGUGAAAUGCGUAGAUAUUAGGAGGAACACCAGUGGCGAAGGCGGAUUGCU
This 702-nucleotide ribosomal RNA is filed under the name uncultured Lachnospiraceae bacterium. RNAcentral describes it as "bacterial SSU rRNA". It matches the Rfam family "Bacterial small subunit ribosomal RNA", at positions 29 to 730 of the family's 1533-position model. The record is from RNAcentral. Lineage: Bacteria; Bacillati; Bacillota; Clostridia; Lachnospirales; Lachnospiraceae.